ACGCGAAAGUCCCCUUCGGGGGGCAAGUAGAGUGGCGCACGGGUGAGUAACACGUAGGUAAUCUACCUUUGGAUUGGGAAUAACAACCGGAAACGGUUGCUAAUACCGAAUAAUGCAGCGGCACCUAAUGGUGACAGUUGUUAAAGCGGGGGAUCGAAAGACCUCGCGUCUGAAGAGGAGCCUGCGGCAGAUUAGCUAGUUGGUAAGGUAACGGCUUACCAAGGCGAUGAUCUGUAGCCGGCCUGAGAGGGCGGUCGGCCACACUGACACUGACAUACGGGUCAGACUCCUACGGGAGGCAGCAGUCGGGAAUUUUGGGCAAUGGGCGAAAGCCUGACCCAGCAACGCCGCGUGAAGGAUGAAAUCCUUCGGGAUGUAAACUUCGCAAGAACGGGAAGAAUAAGUAAGAGUUAAUAUCUCUUACGAUGACGGUACUGUUUGUAAGCUCCGGCUAACUCCGUGCCAGCAGCCGCGGUAAUACGGGGGGAGCAAGCGUUGUUCGGAUUUACUGGGCGUAAAGGGCGCGUAGGCGGCCACCGCAAGUCGACUGUGAAAUCUCCGGGCUUAACCCGGAAAGGUCAGCCGAUACUGCGGGGCUAGAGUGCAGAAGGGGCAACUGGAAUUCUCGGUGUAGCGGUGAAAUGCGUAGAUAUCGAGAGGAACACCUGCGGCGAAGGCGGGUUGCUGGGCUGACACUGACGCUGAGGCGCGAAAGCUAGGGGAGCGAACGGGA
Molecule: ribosomal RNA, 733 nt
Filed under: uncultured bacterium
Lineage: Bacteria
Description: bacterial SSU rRNA
Rfam family: Bacterial small subunit ribosomal RNA
Source: RNAcentral